GAUGAACGCUGGCGGCGUGCUUAACACAUGCAAGUCGAACGGAAAGGCUCCUGCUUGCAGGGGUACUCGAGUGGCGAACGGGUGAGUAACACGUGGGUGAUCUGCCCUGCACUUCGGGAUAAGCCUGGGAAACUGGGUCUAAUACCGGAUAGGACCACAUUUUGGAUGGUGUGGUGGAAAGUUUUUCGGUGUGGGAUGAGCUCGCGGCCUAUCAGCUUGUUGGUGGGGUAAUGGCCUACCCAGGCGUCGACGGGUAGCCGGCCUGAGAGGGUGUACGGCCACAUUGGGACUGAGAGACGGGCCAGACUCCUACGGGAGGCAGCAGGGGGGAAUAUUGCACAAUGGGAGCAAGCCUGAUGCAGCGACGCCGCGUGGGGGAUGACGGCCUUCGGGUUGUAAACUCCUGUCGCUAGGGACGAAGCGUUUUUGUGACGGUACCUGGAGAAGAAGCACCGGCUAACUACGUG
This 467-nucleotide ribosomal RNA is filed under the name uncultured bacterium. Its description in RNAcentral is "partial 16S ribosomal RNA". It matches the Rfam family "Bacterial small subunit ribosomal RNA", at positions 28 to 507 of the family's 1533-position model. The record is from RNAcentral.